Molecule: ribosomal RNA, 229 nt
Filed under: uncultured bacterium
Lineage: Bacteria
Description: partial 16S ribosomal RNA
Rfam family: Bacterial small subunit ribosomal RNA
Source: RNAcentral
CGGGGUGAGUAAUGCUUGGGAAUCUGGCUUAUGGAGGGGGAUAACUACGGGAAACUGUAGCUAAUACCGCGUAGUGUCGAGAGACGAAAGUGCGGGACCGAAAGGCCGCAUGCCAUGAGAUGAGCCCAAGUGGGAUUAGGUAGUUGGUGGGGUAAAGGCCUACCAAGCCUGCGAUCUCUAGCUGGUCUGAGAGGAUGGCCAGCUACACUGGAACUGAGACACGGUCCAG